This 131-nucleotide small nucleolar RNA is filed under the name Notamacropus eugenii (tammar wallaby). Its description in RNAcentral is "Small nucleolar RNA SNORA31 (ENSMEUG00000018214.1)". It matches the Rfam family "Small nucleolar RNA SNORA31". Rfam says of the family: ACA31 (SNORA31) belongs to the H/ACA class of snoRNAs which are thought to guide the sites of modification of uridines to pseudouridines. ACA31 is predicted to guide the pseudouridylation of U3713 in 28S rRNA and U218 in 18S rRNA. This family includes the mouse homologue snoMBI-161. The record is from RNAcentral. Lineage: Eukaryota; Metazoa; Chordata; Mammalia; Diprotodontia; Macropodidae.
AUGCAUCUCUUUGACAGACCUGGAGAAGUUAUGCCUGCUUUUAGGGUUUCCACUAAGAUGCAAAAAAAAUUUUCGUCAUGCUUUUUCUCUGCCUAAUUGUGACAGUCUAGAUUGAAUAGGGUAACUGAACA